GGAAUAUUGCACAAUGGGCGCAAGCCUGAUGCAGCCAUGCCGCGUGUAUGAAGAAGGCCUUCGGGUUGUAAAGUACUUUCAGUGGGGAGGAAGGCGAUGAGGUUAAUAGCCUCGUCGAUUGACGUUACCCGCAGAAGAAGCACCGGCUAACUCCGUGCCAGCAGCCGCGGUAAUACGGAGGGUGCAAGCGUUAAUCGGAAUUACUGGGCGUAAAGCGCACGCAGGCGGUCUGUCAAGUCGGAUGUGAAAUCCCCGGGCUCAACCUGGGAACUGCAUUCGAAACUGGCAGGCUAGAGUCUUGUAGAGGGGGGUAGAAUUCCAGGUGUAGCGGUGAAAUGCGUAGAGAUCUGGAGGAAUACCGGUGGCGAAGGCGGCCCCCUGGACAAAGACUGACGCUCAGGUGCGAAAGCGUGGGGAGCAAACAGGAUUAGAUACCCUUG
Molecule: ribosomal RNA, 440 nt
Filed under: uncultured Erwinia sp.
Lineage: Bacteria; Pseudomonadati; Pseudomonadota; Gammaproteobacteria; Enterobacterales; Erwiniaceae
Description: bacterial SSU rRNA
Rfam family: Bacterial small subunit ribosomal RNA
Source: RNAcentral